GAUGAAGAACGUAGCGAAAUGCGAUAAGUAAUGUGAAUUGCAGAAUUCAGUGAAUCAUCGAAUCUUUGAACGCACCUUGCGCCCUUUGGCUAUUCUGAAGGGCAUGCCUGUUUGAGUAUCGUGAACACCUCAACUCUCAUGGUCUGCCAUGAUGAGCUUGGACUUUGGGGGUCUUGCUGGCCUACCGUCAGCUCCUCUCAAAUGAAUCAGCUUACCAGUGUUUGGUGGGUAUCAUGGGUGUGAUAACUAUCUACGCUUGUGGUUUUUCCACCAGGUAACCUUCAGCAGUGGAGGUUCGCUGGAGCUCAUAGAUGUCUCUCCUCAGUGAGGACAGCCCUUUGAAUGUUUGAUCUCAAAUCAGGUAGGACUACCCGCUGAACUUAAGCAUAUCAAUAAGCGGAGGA
Molecule: unclassified non-coding RNA, 404 nt
Filed under: soil metagenome
Description: partial contains 5.8S ribosomal RNA, internal transcribed spacer 2, and large subunit ribosomal RNA
Rfam family: 5.8S ribosomal RNA (bases 1-121)
Source: RNAcentral